Molecule: non-coding RNA, 843 nt
Organism: Cyanistes caeruleus (blue tit)
Lineage: Eukaryota; Metazoa; Chordata; Aves; Passeriformes; Paridae
Source: RefSeq, a predicted model, not a curated record
GUUCAGGGCUGGGGCUCAGCCCCACGCCCGGGAAGGAGCGGGACAGGCCGAGGGGCUCCACCAGGCACAGCUGUGGGCACGAGCCGAGCAGUUCUAACUGAAGCUUUAGCUCCUGUCAGCAAUGCCACUUUUGCCUGCCAGCUGGAAAAGUAACCAGUAGUAGAGCAGGUGGAGAUUUUUCUAGAGGUUAUCUGAUUUGAUAACUAGAGGGAAACAUUGGCUUAAACUGAAGUUCUGAAGAGCUAUUACAGAUUUUCACUCAGAGUGCCAUAACUUGGCUUACAUUCUGCUGAUUAAGGACGUGCUCAGGGGAAGAAGACUGAAAGGUGAAGAAGAUUUGGGACCCAUAGAGUUCUAAACACAUACUUACCCAUAUCUGAGCAGAGCAAGUGGAAUUAUGAAUGAGCUGAUUGCUGUCUGUCUUUGAGGCACUGUCAUAUUAUUGCUGUUUGAGACACAGGAAAGCAUCAGCACCAUAUCUUGAGAAGAGAAUGGUUUGUUGGGAGGCUGAACUUACACAGGUCUUGUACAUGGUAGAGACACCACUCAACACUCACUGCUUCUAGGAAUUGAGUAAUUAGAUCAUGCUCAGUGAGAAUUUGAUUCUACCACAAACCUGAUGGUAGCCACGCUUGUGCCACCAAGGCAUGGCAUCACAUAUGCAAGACGGAAACUUGGCAAAGAAUGAGCAUGCUUUUCAGCCUGAAGGCACUAGUGUAGUUGUACAGCUUCCUGCUCAACUACUAAGCUGCUUAACCAACAGAAAAUUAAUGAAAGCUAAGCAGAAGCUACUGCUCUGUCUGGGUUACAUUCACUGGUAAUGAACUUUCACAGAAAAAUAAA